GGGCGAGUAGCUCAGCUGGCAGAGCAUUCGGCUUACAUCCGAAAGGUCGUAGGUUCAAGUCCUAUCUCGCCCA
Molecule: transfer RNA, 73 nt
Filed under: Candidatus Omnitrophota bacterium
Lineage: Bacteria; Pseudomonadati; Candidatus Omnitrophota
Description: tRNA-Val
Rfam family: tRNA
About the family: Transfer RNA (tRNA) molecules are approximately 80 nucleotides in length. Their secondary structure includes four short double-helical elements and three loops (D, anti-codon, and T loops). Further hydrogen bonds mediate the characteristic L-shaped molecular structure. tRNAs have two regions of fundamental functional importance: the anti-codon, which is responsible for specific mRNA codon recognition, and the 3' end, to which the tRNAs corresponding amino acid is attached (by aminoacyl-tRNA synthetases). tRNAs cope with the degeneracy of the genetic code in two manners: having more than one tRNA (with a specific anti-codon) for a particular amino acid; and 'wobble' base-pairing, i.e. permitting non-standard base-pairing at the 3rd anti-codon position.
Source: RNAcentral